This 494-nucleotide ribosomal RNA is filed under the name uncultured bacterium. RNAcentral describes it as "partial 16S ribosomal RNA". It matches the Rfam family "Bacterial small subunit ribosomal RNA", at positions 28 to 507 of the family's 1533-position model. The record is from RNAcentral.
GACGAACGCUGGCGGCGUGCUUAACACAUGCAAGUCGAACGGUGAAGCGCCUUCCUUUUUGGUGGGUGUGGAUGAGUGGCGAACGGGUGAGUAACACGUGAGUAACCUGCCCCCUUCUUCUGGAUAACCGCAUGAAAGUGUGGCUAAUACGGGAUAUUCUGGGUCUGUCGCAUGAUGGGUCUGGGAAAGAUAUUGUUUCGGUGGGGGAUGGGCUCGCGGCCUAUCAGCUUGUUGGUGGGGUGAUGGCCUACCAAGGCGGUGACGGGUAGCCGGCCUGAGAGGGUGGACGGUCACACUGGGACUGAGACACGGCCCAGACUCCUACGGGAGGCAGCAGUGGGGAAGAGUGCACAAUGGGCGAAAGCCUGAUGCAGCGACGCCGCGUGAGGGAUGGGGGCCUUCGGGUUGUGAACCUCUUUCGCCAGUGAAGCAGGCCUGCCUCGUUUGUGGGUGGGUUGACGGUAGCUGGAUAAGAAGCGCCGGCUAACUACGUG